ACGGAAGGCAGCAGUGGGGAAUAUUGGGCAAUGGGCGAAAGCCUGACCCAGCGACGCCGCGUGAGGGAAGAAGGUCUUCGGAUUGUAAACCUCUUUCAGCAGGGAAGAAGCAUGACGGUACCUGCAGAAGAAGUCACGGCUAACUACGUGCCAGCAGCCGCGGUAAUACGUAGGUGGCGAGCGUUAUCCGGAAUUACUGGGUGUAAAGGGUGUGUAGGCGGGGAAGCAAGUCAGGCGUGAAAUACACGGGCUCAACCCGUGAACUGCGCUUGAAACUGUUUUUCUUGAGAGUGGGAGAGGUAAACGGAAUUCCUGGUGUGGUAGUGAAAUGCGUAGAUAUCAGGAGGAACACCGGUGGCGAAGGCGGUUUACUGGACCACAACUGACGCUGAGACACGAAAGCGUGGGGAGCAAACAGGAUUAGAUACCCUGGUA
RNAcentral lists this ribosomal RNA (435 nucleotides) under uncultured Pseudoflavonifractor sp. RNAcentral's name for it is "partial 16S ribosomal RNA". It matches the Rfam family "Bacterial small subunit ribosomal RNA", at positions 341 to 792 of the family's 1533-position model. The record is from RNAcentral. Lineage: Bacteria; Bacillati; Bacillota; Clostridia; Eubacteriales; Oscillospiraceae.